This 253-nucleotide ribosomal RNA is filed under the name uncultured prokaryote. RNAcentral describes it as "partial 16S ribosomal RNA". It matches the Rfam family "Bacterial small subunit ribosomal RNA", at positions 524 to 776 of the family's 1533-position model. The record is from RNAcentral.
UACGGAGGAUCCGAGCGUUAUCCGGAUUUAUUGGGUUUAAAGGGUGCGUAGGCGGCCUAUUAAGUCAGGGGUGAAAGACGGUAGCUUAACUAUCGCAGUGCCUUUGAUACUGAUGGGCUUGAAUGUACUUGAGGUAGGCGGAAUGUGACAAGUAGCGGUGAAAUGCGUAGAUAUCGGGAGGAACACCUGAGGCGAAGGCGGGCUACUGGGCCGAUACUGACGCUGAUGCGCGAAAGCCAGGGGAGCGAACGGG